UUAAAGGGCUGCAGUAUAUUGACUGUACAAAGGUAGCAUAAUCAUUAGUCAUUUAAUUGGUGACUUGUAUGAAAGAUUGGAUGAAGUAUAAACUGUCUUUUAUUUAUUUAUAAAAUUUAAUUUUUUUAUAAAAAAGUUAAAAUAAUUUAAAAAGACGAGAAGACCCUAUAGAGUUUUAUAAAUAAUUUGAAUAAGAAUAUAUUGAAAAUUAAAUUUAAAAUUAAGAUUAUUUAUUUUAUUGGGGUGAUAGAAAAAUAUAUAAAACUUUUUUUUUAAAAAAAAAACAUUUAUAAUUGAUUAAUUGAUCCAAUAAUAUUGAUUAUAAGAAAAAAUUACCUUAGGGAUAACAGCGUAAUUUUUUUUUUUAGUUCAAAUAAGAAAAAGAGUUUGCGACCUCGAUGUUGGAUUAAGAUAAAAAUUAGGUGUAGAAG
RNAcentral lists this ribosomal RNA (431 nucleotides) under Acrapex sp. ACKEG7114. RNAcentral describes it as "partial 16S large subunit ribosomal RNA". Lineage: Eukaryota; Metazoa; Arthropoda; Insecta; Lepidoptera; Noctuidae. The record is from RNAcentral.